RNAcentral lists this transfer RNA (69 nucleotides) under Rattus norvegicus (Norway rat). It matches the Rfam family "tRNA". From Rfam's summary of the family: Transfer RNA (tRNA) molecules are approximately 80 nucleotides in length. Their secondary structure includes four short double-helical elements and three loops (D, anti-codon, and T loops). The record is from Rfam by way of RNAcentral. Lineage: Eukaryota; Metazoa; Chordata; Mammalia; Rodentia; Muridae.
GGGGGUUUAGCUCAGCGGUAGAGCACUUGCCUAGCAAGCGCAAGGCCCUGGGUUCAAUCCCCAGCUCCG